This is a long non-coding RNA of Chinchilla lanigera (long-tailed chinchilla), 966 nucleotides long. RefSeq lists it as uncharacterized. The record is from RefSeq and is a predicted model, not a curated record. The transcript has 3 exons. NCBI's taxonomy places the organism in Eukaryota, Metazoa, Chordata, Mammalia, Rodentia, Chinchillidae.
UCCAAUUUCCUAACUGCGCAUGUCCCUGCGUAGGCGCGUUAGACAUUCCUUCACUUCCGGACUCUCCAUAAGGUAUAAAUAUGGCUGCUUCGGGCUUGGCCAUCUCUUAGACAAAGGGUAUCUCACGUUUCUUCGUGUUGAAUACUUUGAAGAUUCCAGAUAACUUCUUUAGGCAGGAGAAAGGAACUGCACUGGAUUUGGCCAUUCACAUGUGAGACAUGUUCAAAAAUAACAGUGAAUGCUGCUGCUGAGUGCCAUCAAGGGAAGAGGGAGGGAUCCUCAGUACAUCAAGUAGCUUGUGGAACCUUAGAAACAGUGUGACAGGUUUUUAACUUCUCAGUGUCUGGUUGUGAGCUCUGGUUGAGAGAAGGUGUUUUCAACUCUGCUGCAAAUAAUGGAUCACGAACAACGCAUUAACGUGGAAUUUUGUUUCAAACUGCAAAAAACUGCUAAAGAAACACAUGAAAUGUUAAAAUUAGUGUACGGUGAUAGUGCAGUGGCCAUGGAGACAGUUUGCGAGUGGUUUGAGCAAUUUCGCAAUGAUUGUGAGUCAGUUGAAGACAAAAAGAAUGUCCUUCAUCAAAAACCCAAAAAAAGAUUGAAAGAAUAAGUGAAAUAAUUGGAUCCACGGAAAGUUGACUAUUAGGCACCUUUCAGAGGAUAUGAAGGUCAGUUCUAUUCAAAGCAUUUUCACAGAUGUGAAUAUGAGCUGAGGAUCAAAUUUGUUCUACAUGUUUGCUGAACAAUCAACACCCAUUUGUAAUUCUCUUCAGAGCUGUGCACUUGUGCCACUUCAGGUUUCAGUAUUUUAGUAAAUGUCAUCAGGGGGCAGAAACUUGGGUCUGUGAUUAUGAUGCUGAGAUCAAGGUUCAAAGUUCUCAGUGGAAAUCACCCAGCUGGCCUUGUGAGAGGAAAGUAAAUCAGUCAAGAUCCAGCGGCAACGAAAAAAGAAAAUCUAACGUCAAA